This 402-nucleotide unclassified non-coding RNA is filed under the name soil metagenome. RNAcentral's name for it is "partial contains 5.8S ribosomal RNA, internal transcribed spacer 2, and large subunit ribosomal RNA". The stretch from base 1 to 121 matches the Rfam family "5.8S ribosomal RNA", at positions 35 to 154 of the family's 154-position model. The record is from RNAcentral.
GAUGAAGAACGUAGUGAAAUGCGAUAAGUAAUGUGAAUUGCAGAAUUCAGUGAAUCAUCGAAUCUUUGAACGCACCUUGCGCCCUUUGGCCAUUCCGAAGGGCAUGCCUGUUUGAGUAUCAUGAACACCUCAACUCUCAUGGCUCGCCAUGAUGAGCUUGGACUUUGGGGGUCUUGCUGGCCUGUGGUCGGCUCCUCUCAAAUGGAUCAGCUUGCCAGUGUUUGGUGGCAUCACAGGUGUGAUAACUAUCUGCGCUUGUGGUUUUCCAUCAGAUAACCUUCAGUGAUGGAGGUUCGCUGGAGCUCAUAAACGUCUCCCCUAAGCGGGGACAGCCCUUUGAAUGUUUGAUCUCAAAUCAGGUAGGACUACCCGCUGAACUUAAGCAUAUCAAUAAGCGGAGGA